This 483-nucleotide ribosomal RNA is filed under the name uncultured bacterium. RNAcentral describes it as "partial 16S ribosomal RNA". It matches the Rfam family "Bacterial small subunit ribosomal RNA", at positions 28 to 506 of the family's 1533-position model. The record is from RNAcentral.
AUUGAACGCUGGCGGCAUGCUUUACACAUGCAAGUCGAACGGCAGCGCGGGCUUCGGCCUGGCGGCGAGUGGCGAACGGGUGAGUAAUGCAUCGGAACGUGCCCAGUAGUGGGGGAUAGCCCGGCGAAAGCCGGAUUAAUACCGCAUACGACCUGAGGGUGAAAGCGGGGGACCGAAAGGCCUCGCGCUAUUGGAGCGGCCGAUGUCGGAUUAGCUAGUUGGUGGGGUAAAGGCCUACCAAGGCGACGAUCCGUAGCUGGUCUGAGAGGACGACCAGCCACACUGGGACUGAGACACGGCCCAGACUCCUACGGGAGGCAGCAGUGGGGAAUUUGGGACAAUGGGGGCAACCCUGAUCCAGCCAUGCCGCGGGCGGGAAGAAGGCCUUCGGGUUGUAAACCGCUUUUGUUCGGGAAGAAAUCCUCUGGGCUAAUACCCCGGGGGGAGGACGGGACCGGAAGAAUAAGCACCGGCGAACUACGU